GAAUUGUACUGAAUUUGAAAAACAAGCAUGAAUCUUUCCUAUAGGAUAGGAAGCCUCUGAUUUAUACCAUAAAGUGAAAUUUCAUAUACAGGAUGUAUCAAUUAAGAUUUAAUUCAAAAAAGAUGAAUUUAAGUUAAAAAGAAAAACACAGGAUAACUUCCAUUCAUCUGAUGUUCAUAUGCCCUGGCACAUCUAUUGCUUCUUAUAAUGUGCUUGCUUAAAAAAAAAAAACAUGAGCUUUUCUCAGAGACACUAAUAUAAUGAAUUCAUGUACCCAUCACCAACUUCUACAAUUACCAAUAUUCAGCCUCUUCCAUUUACAACCUGCCCAUUUUCUAAGAAAUAAUUAAAGCACAUGCUACACCCAUAAA
RNAcentral lists this long non-coding RNA (371 nucleotides) under Homo sapiens (human). RNAcentral describes it as "non-protein coding lnc-U2AF2-7:1". The record is from RNAcentral. Lineage: Eukaryota; Metazoa; Chordata; Mammalia; Primates; Hominidae.